RNAcentral lists this ribosomal RNA (281 nucleotides) under uncultured soil bacterium. RNAcentral's name for it is "partial 16S ribosomal RNA". It matches the Rfam family "Bacterial small subunit ribosomal RNA", at positions 26 to 284 of the family's 1533-position model. The record is from RNAcentral.
AGAAUCAACGCUGGCGGCGUGCCUAACACAUGCAAGUCGAACGCGGUUACGUCUGUUUCGCAAGAAACAGGCGUAACUGAGUGGCGAACGGGUGAGUAACACGUGGGUGAUCUACCUUCGAGUGGGGGAUAACGUUCCGAAAGGAACGCUAAUACCGCAUGACGUUCUGGGUUUGAAGACCUGGAAACCAAAGCCGGGGACCGCAAGGCCUGGCGCUUGAAGAGGAGCCCGCGUCCGAUUAGCUAGUUGGCGGGUAACGGCCCACCAAGGCGACGAUCGGU